GCGUGAGUGAUGAAGGCCUUAGGGUUGUAAAGCUCUUUUACCCGGGAUGAUAAUGACAGUACCGGGAGAAUAAGCUCCGGCUAACUCCGUGCCAGCAGCCGCGGUAAUACGGAGGGAGCUAGCGUUGUUCGGAAUUACUGGGCGUAAAGCGCACGUAGGCGGUUAUUCAAGUCAGAGGUGAAAGCCUGGAGCUCAACUCCAGAACUGCCUUUGAAACUAGAUAACUAGAAUCUUGGAGAGGCGGGUGGAAUUCCGAGUGUAGAGGUGAAAUUCGU
RNAcentral lists this ribosomal RNA (275 nucleotides) under uncultured bacterium. Its description in RNAcentral is "partial 16S ribosomal RNA". It matches the Rfam family "Bacterial small subunit ribosomal RNA", at positions 399 to 691 of the family's 1533-position model. The record is from RNAcentral.